GCUGAGAUAGCUCAGUUGGUAGAGCAACUGAUUCGUAAUCAGUAGGUCGGAGGUUCAAAUCCUCUUCUCAGCA
This 73-nucleotide transfer RNA is filed under the name Holosporales bacterium. RNAcentral describes it as "tRNA-Thr". It matches the Rfam family "tRNA". From Rfam's summary of the family: Transfer RNA (tRNA) molecules are approximately 80 nucleotides in length. The record is from RNAcentral. Lineage: Bacteria; Pseudomonadati; Pseudomonadota; Alphaproteobacteria; Holosporales.